UUGUUGGUUUGUCACAGCCAAGGUAAUGACUAAGGGAGACAGUCGGGGGCAUCUGUACUGCAGCGCUAGAGGUGAAAUUCUUGGACCGUUGCAAGACAAACAACAGCGAAAGCAUUUGCCAAGUAUGUUUUCAUUAAUCAAGAACGAAAGUUAGAGGUUCGAAGGCGAUCAGAUACCGCCCUWGUUCUAACCAUAAACGAUGCCAACCAGCAAUCUAUCAAGUGUUAUAUCCAUGACCUGAUAGGCAGCUUCUGGGAAACCAAAGUCUUUGGGUUCCGGGGGAAGUAUGGUUGCAAAGCUGAAACUUAAAGGAAUUGACGGAAGGGCACCACCAGGAGUGGAGCCUGCGGCUUWAUUUGACUCAACACGGGGAACCUCACCAGGCCCAGACACCGGAAGGAUUGACAGAAUGAGAGCUCUUUCUCGAUUCGGUGGGUGGUGGUGCAUGGCCGUUCUUAGUUGGUGGAGUGAUUUGUCUGGUUAAUUC
RNAcentral lists this ribosomal RNA (487 nucleotides) under Megalobrachium poeyi. Its description in RNAcentral is "SSU rRNA". It matches the Rfam family "Eukaryotic small subunit ribosomal RNA", at positions 852 to 1336 of the family's 1831-position model. Lineage: Eukaryota; Metazoa; Arthropoda; Malacostraca; Decapoda; Porcellanidae. The record is from RNAcentral.